GGUAAAGUGACUGAGAUUAUAGGUGAUAGAUUGUAAAUCUAUUAAGGGGAUUAUGUCCUCUUUACCA
This 67-nucleotide transfer RNA is filed under the name Tropidomantis tenera. RNAcentral describes it as "tRNA-Tyr". The record is from RNAcentral. Lineage: Eukaryota; Metazoa; Arthropoda; Insecta; Mantodea; Nanomantidae.